Molecule: ribosomal RNA, 464 nt
Filed under: uncultured bacterium
Lineage: Bacteria
Description: SSU rRNA
Rfam family: Bacterial small subunit ribosomal RNA
Source: RNAcentral
AGGACUAACGCUGGCGGCGUGCCUAACACAUGCAAGUCGAACGGGGUAGCAAUACCCAGUGGCAGACGGGUGAGUAACACGUGGUCAACCUACCUCUAUGUGGGGGAUAACUAGCCGAAAGGUUAGCUAAUACCGCAUACGAUCGCUUUGGGGCAUCCCUAGGCGAUGAAAGGAGCAAUCCGCAUAGAGAGGGGACUGCGUCCCAUUAGUUAGUUGGUGGGGUAACGGCCUACCAAGACUCCGAUGGGUAGCUGGCUUGAGAGAGCGACCAGCCACACUGGAACUGAGACACGGUCCAGACUCCUAUGGAGGCAGCAGUGAGGAAUUUUCCGCAAUGGGCGAAAGCCUGACGGAGCGACGCCGCGUGUGGGAAGAAGGCCUUCGGGUCGUAAACCGACUGUCGAAGGGACGAUAAUGACGGUACCCUUGGAGGAAGCCCCGGCUAACUACGUGCCAGCAGCCGC